This 1204-nucleotide long non-coding RNA is filed under the name Callithrix jacchus (white-tufted-ear marmoset). Its description in RNAcentral is "lncRNA (ENSCJAG00000064377.2)". The record is from RNAcentral. Lineage: Eukaryota; Metazoa; Chordata; Mammalia; Primates; Cebidae.
UUGUCUGGUCCAGAGGCUUCCCUAGAGUGAAGAGCUCUGCUAUGUAUGCUUUAUGCGGCAGAGGGAGUGCUUUGGAGGAGUUUUAAAAUUUCCGUUUCUUUAAAUGGUAUCCCAUCAGUUUUAAUUAUAGCAGUGAUUCAAGAAACAUUAGCAGGUGCCCAUAACUGUGGCUGGUGGAGAUCCAAAAGUGAACAAGACAGUGUUCGGGCUGCCAAGGUCUUCUUCACUGGAGUAGAUACUAUCGCUGUGGCUGGCUGAGUUCUCAUCUCUCUGCAACCAAGGCUAACUGGUUCUUAGGUUACCUUGAUGCCACACACCGAGAGUCCUUUCUGGAUUUAGUGAUUGGUGCUGCUUAUUUCCACCUUCUCUGAGGAUGGAGCCUCAGAAUAGAGACCAGGUUGAAAAAUCAGUCUUUUACUUAGAACUCUGAAAACAGGUACUACAUCUUAUCCAUCUACAACCCUGUGACCCAGAAGCCAUUAAUUCGACAUUACCAACAUACCUCCACACGAGGACUUCAUAAUCUUCAAUGUGAGAAUUGAAAAAAAAAAAAGACUUAAGCAACUUUGGUGGGGAGGAGAACGAUAACCUAAAUUUUAACUGUCAGAAAAUCUCUAACAGAAAGAUCCCAAUAAUUGCCACUUGGGGGAGAUGGAAGUUCAUGAAUUGCUCUGCUAAUCCCUGAGGCAACAGAGCACUUUAACUGGUUUAUUUAUUCAAAGCUGGAAUUUGGACGUGUGAACCAUCAAGCUUAGGGAAAUUCCUGGAUGAGGAACACAGCCCUGGGAGAAACCUACCAAAGAUGGAAUUAGCACCUUGGCGAACUGCCUUCAGCACAAAGAACUUUCUUUCCUUGUGCGUCUUAAGAAUUUACUUCAGUUCCCUUUUGUCUGAAGCAGAGGAGGCCAAGUUAAACCGUGAAGAAGAGUGCUUAUUUGUCACUACCUGCAAACACAUGAUCCUGUCUAGGAUGCCACAUGUUUCAUUAUCAUAUCUCCUUGGGCUCUUCUGGGCCCUGACAAUUUCUCAGACUUUUCUUCUUUGUGAUGACCUUGACAGCUUUGAAGAGUGCUGGUCAGAACUAAGAAUUGAUUCAGCAUACGGCUUGGCCUAUGGGACAAACACCUUCAUCCCAGCAUCCCAGUAUCCCAGCAUUCCAGCAUUCAAGCUCCAGCUGGGGCUCAGAAAGAGCAGAAGGAUAUAA